AACCUUAUGGACCUGCGGGCGUAUACCUGCGGAAGGAUCAUUAACAAAUCCUGAACCGAUUCUUUGCGCCGGCUUCGGCAGGCCAGAGUCUUAAACCUUCUGUGAAAACGAGAUACCAUUUUGCUUCGGCAGCGGGUGCCGGGCGAGAGUCCGAAACCGUCAGCCUGCCGGCAGCGCCAACCAAACUAGUUUUUUUUCUGUACCGUCUGAAAAACAUUUUUGAAUGAAAUCAAAACUUUC
RNAcentral lists this unclassified non-coding RNA (240 nucleotides) under soil metagenome. RNAcentral's name for it is "partial contains 5.8S ribosomal RNA, internal transcribed spacer 2, and large subunit ribosomal RNA". The record is from RNAcentral.